This 203-nucleotide unclassified non-coding RNA is filed under the name Glomus sp. RNAcentral describes it as "partial contains 5.8S ribosomal RNA and internal transcribed spacer 2". The stretch from base 1 to 65 matches the Rfam family "5.8S ribosomal RNA", at positions 84 to 154 of the family's 154-position model. Lineage: Eukaryota; Fungi; Glomeromycota; Glomeromycetes; Glomerales; Glomeraceae. The record is from RNAcentral.
GUGAAUCAUCGAAUUUUUGAACGCAAAUUGCACUCUCUGCGGAGAGUAUGCGUGUCUGAGGGUCAGCCUAAAAAAAAUUGACAUAGUUGCUGUUUCGCGGUGACAUGCGUCGGAAAUUGGGUCACCUUAAACCUGUGGUUAUUAAGCGGCUUAAAAUUUUCUUUACGAUUCCACGAAGGGUACACAGAUUUACUUCGUACACG